UACGAAGGGGGCAAGCGUUGUUCGGAAUUAUUGGGCGUAAAGGGAGCGUAGGCGGUUCGGCAAGUCUUUAGUGAAAGCUCGGAGCUCAACUCCGAGUCGGCCGUGCGAACUGGGCUCACUGGAGCAUAGUAGAGGCAGGUGGAAUUCCGGGUGUAGCGGUGGAAUGCGUAGAGAUCCGGAAGAACACCGGUGGCGAAGGCGGCCUGCUGGGCUAUGGCUGACACUGAGGCGCGACAGCGUGGGGAGCAAACAGG
Molecule: ribosomal RNA, 254 nt
Filed under: uncultured bacterium
Lineage: Bacteria
Description: partial 16S ribosomal RNA
Rfam family: Bacterial small subunit ribosomal RNA
Source: RNAcentral